RNA transcript from Hippopotamus amphibius kiboko, 7631 nucleotides. It is a transcript of the gene named BMP2 inducible kinase, with no coding region annotated. The record is from RefSeq and is a predicted model, not a curated record. The transcript is spliced from 15 exons. NCBI's taxonomy places the organism in Eukaryota, Metazoa, Chordata, Mammalia, Artiodactyla, Hippopotamidae.
GGCGCGCACGGACGCUCGGACGAGCGAGGGGCGGCGACCCCUCGCGGACGCUCGGCCGCCUGCCGGGCCGGGCGCUCGCCCUCCCGCUCGCCCUCGCGCGCGCCCCGCGCCCUCCCGCGCCCUCCCGCGCGCCGGCGGGACCAUGAAGAAGUUCUCUCGAAUGCCCAAGUCGGAGGGCGGCGGCGGCGGAGCGGCGGGCGGCGGGGCCGGCGGGGCCGGGGCCGGCUCCGGGAGCUCGUCCGUGGGGGUCCGAGUGUUCGCGGUCGGCCGCUACCAGGUCACCCUGGAGGAGUCGCUGGCCGAAGGUGGAUUCUCGACGGUUUUCCUGGUGCGGACUCAUGGUGGACUCCGCUAUGCGUUGAAGCGAAUGUAUGUCAAUAAUGUGACGGACCUCAACAUUUGUAGAAGGGAAAUUACAAUUAUGAAAGAGCUGUCUGGUCACAAAAAUAUUGUGGGUUAUUUGGAUUGUGCUGUUAAUUCAAUCAGUGAUAAUGUAUGGGAAGUGCUUAUCUUAAUGGAAUAUUGUCGAGCUGGGCAGGUAGUGAAUCAGAUGAAUAAGAAGCUGCAGAUAGGUUUUACAGAACCAGAAGUGUUACAGAUAUUCUGUGAUACCUGUGAAGCUGUUGCAAGGUUGCAUCAGUGUAAGACUCCAAUAAUUCACCGGGAUUUGAAGGUAGAAAAUAUUUUGUUAAAUGAUGGUGGAAACUAUGUACUUUGUGACUUUGGCAGCGCCACAAAUAAAUUUCUUAAUCCUCAGAAAGAUGGAGUUAAUAUAGUAGAAGAAGAAAUUAAAAAGUAUACAACUCUGUCAUACAGAGCCCCUGAAAUGAUCAACCUUUAUGGAGGGAAACCUAUCACCACCAAGGCUGAUAUCUGGGCCCUGGGAUGUUUACUGUAUAAACUUUGUUUCUUCACUCUUCCUUUUGGUGAGAGUCAGGUUGCUAUCUGUGAUGGCAGCUUCACCAUCCCAGACAAUUCUCGUUACUCCCAUAACAUACAUUGCUUAAUAAGGUUCAUGCUUGAACCAGAUCCAGAGCAUAGACCUGAUAUAUUUCAAGUGUCAUAUUUUGCAUUUAAAUUUGCCAAAAAGGAUUGUCCAGUCUCCAACAUCAAUAAUUCUCCUAUUCCUUCAGCUCUUCCUGAACCGAUGACUGCUAGUGAAGCAGCUUCUAGGAAAAGCCAAAUAAAGGCCAGAAUAACAGAUACCAUUGGACCAACAGAAACCUCAAUCGCACCAAGACAGAGACCAAAGGCGAAUUCUACUACUUCCACUCCCAGUGUGCUGACCAUUCAGAGUUCAGCAACACCUGUUAAAGUCCCAGCUCCUGGUGAAUUUGGUAACCACAGACCAAAAGGAGCGCUGAGACCUGGAAAUGGCCCUGAGAUGUUACUGGGUCAGGGGCCCACUCAGCAGCCUCCACAGCAGCAUCGAGUACUUCAGCAGCUACAGCAGGGAGACUGGAGACUGCAGCAGCUUCAUCUACAGCAUCGUCCCCCUCACCAGCAGCAGCAGCAGCAGCAGCAGCAGCAGCUACUUCAGGAUACUUACAUGCAGCAGUAUCAACAUGCAGUGCAACAGCAACAGAUACUUCAACAACAGUUUUUAAUGCAGUCAAUGUAUCAGCCGCAACCUUCUGCAUCACAGUACCCUGCAAUGAUGCAGCAGUAUCACCAGGCUUUCUUACAGCAGCAAAUGCUAGCUCAGCAUCAGCAGUCUCAACAACAGGCAUCACCGGAAUAUCUCACCUCCCCUCGAGAGUUCUCACCAGCCUUAGUGUCCUACACUUCAUCGCUUCCAGCUCAGGUUGGAACCAUAGUGGACUCCUCUUAUAGUGCCAGUAGGUCAGUUGCUGAUAAAGAGGCAGUUGCAAAUAUUACAAAUCAGAAGAACAUCAGUAACCCACCUGAUAUGUCAGGGUGGAAUCCUUUUGGAGAGGAUAAUUUCUCCAAGUUAACAGAAGAGGAACUGUUGGACAGAGAAUUUGACCUUCUAAGAUCAAGUAAGGGACACUUGAAGGCUUAUUUUGCUUCACAGUAAAAUAACAGCUCUGUAAUUAUUCAGCAAGGCCAAAGACUGUUUGGGGAUGGUAAAGAGAAAAUUCUUUUUGUGCAUUUGAGGGCAAAAUUCAGGCCAUCUUCUUUUACAAAUACCAUCAAACUGUUUUGUGUGCAUUAGAAAUCAAUUGCUUGAUAGUAGCUAUUAAACCCAAGAUUGCUGAUAAUAUGCUGAUUCUGAACACUUAAAUACCGCAUAUCUUUGAAUGUUAACUCAGAAAUCUCCAAAAAAUGAAAAAUUAAUGUUCAAAUAAAAAGGGAAACAUUAGUAUCUUGCCUUACUAAGCAUUUUGCAGCUCUGUUUUCUUGCACACUCAGUAGAAGAUAUUGGGGUCUGAGAUGCCCUUUGAAAAUGCCUGAAAGAAAACAUGGGCUACUACAUUAUGUUAAUGUUUUGUAAUGCCCUUUUAAUGACUGGUGACAUGAAAGGGCUGCUUUGUUGUCCUGGUAUGGCAAAAGUGAAAUAAAUUCUUUUCCAUUUUAAAUCAGAUAUCUCAACGUUUUUACUUGCAGUCAUUGCCUUUUCUUAAACUACCUAAUAUAGAUAUCAAGGCUUGCCACACAUAUUUUAGAAGUUAUUUUUUGAAAAAGGAUUGUUUGGAGUGUUUUGAGGAGAUUGUGAAACAGUAGCAAAAAGCUCACUCCUGCAGUCUAUAGAUAAUUACCAGGUUUCUGAGUCUUGGGGGUAUGCGGGCGCGUGUGCCAAGUGUGUUUCCCUAUUUUGCAUGUGAAAAGGAGGUCUUAAUGGCCCCAGGUUAUAGUUCCUAGUUUCUGUUUUAUUUUAGGUAACUGGCCUUAUGAGAACAUUUAUUAGAUGAAGUACUUUGUUCCAAAUUGGUAUAUAUUUUAUGUAAAGUUUAUAAAUGCCCUGAAAUCAUGUAAACAUAGUUGUUUGGAAUUUAAGUUUGUAUUUUACAUAUUGGUUAUAUGAUUAUGAAAAAUUAAAUUGAUUAAAUGCAGAUAUAAAAAUGAGUUCUGAGCCUUUAAUAAAGGUUUGUUAACUUUGGUAAAACUAAUCUUACAUUUUUUUAUUAAAAUUUUUUUUUUUAAAACCACGUUUUUGUUUGGCAUUUUUCCUACAAUUUAUGUUGAGUGGUGCCAAAAGCAAGGUUUUAAAAAAGGAAGUAAAGUAUCUCUUUCCUUUAGGGGGAUGGUAGGGAGAUAACAGGGAUAACCAACUAUUGUAAUAUAUAGGAUUAUUUUUAAAGCAAAAGGUAAAAUUAAAAUAUUCAUUUUAAUGUAUUCUGACCAGGAUAGUAACUAGGGUUUGCUAAAUCAGUAUUUUCUUCUCUUUGGGUGAAAACUCCUCUCCCCUGUUAUUAAAAAAUAACACUGUGGUGUCCUAAGUGGGAGGGAAACCCAGAAGGGAGGGGAUGUAUGUAUAUGUGUGGCUGAUUCAUUCUGCUGUGCAGUAGAAGCUAAUACAACAUUGUAAAGCAACUACAAUCCAAUAAAAGUUAAUUAAUAAAAAAUAAAGAAAAUGAAUUUCUGCAGUGGGUAAAGUAUUCACAAUAUUUUGUAUCUUAUAAAAAUACAAGCUCCCUAGAAUUUGUAAUGAUACCCAAGUGUUAGUUACUUUGCAUAGGCAAGAAUGGCAUACAAAUAUUCAUGUGUACCUAACUUCAUAAAAAUUUGAUUUAGCAUGAAAAACUCUUAACUAGCUAUUUCUUUCAAACUUGGUCUGAUUACAUGUGUAAUUUGUGUAUGUGUUUGCAUGCACAUGUGUAUGCCAAAGAGAGUUCAGACUUCAUUGCAGUAUUAGUUAUGGAAAGAUAUUAAGUUCCAAAUAAAAGUGCAGGAGGAGCUUUAUCUGGAGAUCAGAAUUGGAGCAACUCAGCCAUUUGGGAAACUGCCUAGUUGGUCCCUGAGCUAUUGAAAUCACUGUCACAAGGACGAUAUACUUAAAUUGGCACAUAGCACCAGAAAACAUGACUUCUGAUAUCUGGCCAUGCCAUUUAACUAGGUUUAACUCUGUAAAGUCACUUAACUGCUGUUUCAUGUACUCAUUUAUAAACUGGAUAUUAAUGAUGCUUACCUGAUAGGGUUGUCAAGAAGAUUAAAUAAUGUCUUUAAAGAGUUUGGGCACUCCAUAAAUGCCACUUCUGCUUUUCUUACCUUCUGUAUAAGUCUUUGGGCUCUGACUUCUCUGAGGUUGUUGCUCUAUAACCAGCAUUUAAAACUUAUAUCUAAACUGUCAGGUUUCUCAGCUGGCAAUUAAAAAACCAAAUACAAGGGGCUUUGUGGACAAACACAUCAACAGCAGAACUGAUGUAUGACAUGGAAAGAGAUGGAAAAAUGUCUGUUUUCCUUUAAUAAUUGAUGGUCAUAAUAAUGGGGUUCAAAAAAGGUGCAAUGUCUUCAAUAAAGAAAUUAGUAAUGUGUAGAAUAUAGCUUAGAACGAUUUCCUCUCAGAUUUGACUUAAUUGUGAUAUUGAAUCAUCUUUAGCACCUCUUUCACUCACAGCAAUAAGGUAUCUAAUGUUUGAUGUACUUGAUAGGGUCUAAAUUACACUGAUGGACAAAAGACCUUUUCUAGAACCUUAAGAGUUUCAGUCGACUAACAGUGCAAUGAAAAUUGAUUGUUGGUCAUUCCUGGUUGGUUCCUCUGUCCCUAUUAACUUUUUCCAAAAUGAAUAAGUAAAUUAUCAAUGCAUUUGAAGUAUCAAAUUUACCUUUUUCCCAGCACAGAUAUUUAUCAACAAUUAUUCAGAGUCCUUUCUAAGAUUUUUUAUAUUUGGCUUAUGAAAGCUUUCCAGUGAGAAACUGAAUAUGUUUUUGUAUGGUCCUUAAAAAUAUAGGGAUUGCCCAUGUAAUGAUUGUUCAGAAUAAAACAUUGCCAUUUGAGAUUUUAUUUUAAAAUGAUUCGUGGUUAUAUAUUUUUUUUAUAAAAGAAAAAGGAUAUGCUGUCUAGGAAAUAUUUUACUUGUGUGUAUUUUCCAGAAGGUAAUUUUAAAAUUAUAUUUUGAGAUACUAAAAUUCUAAGAUAUUAGUAAUUGAUAUUAAAAAAACCUGUUUUUUAGUGAUCUUUAAGAGAACAGUUGAAUCCAGCUGGCAAAGGGAUUUAACAUAUAAAAUAUAAAUCAAAUUCUUCUUGCUUUUGCUUUCAAUGUAACAAUAUUUAUGGUUUGGAAUUUUUUAUCUGUUCCUAUUUAAGACUAAAACAUUAAAUCGAAAUUAAGCAUUAUUAAUAAAGCUAGUCUCAAUAUUUUUUAAAGUUGAAUCUUGUAUUUUUCAUGGUCUUUUGUAUUAAAGUAUCCAGGUUAGUAUGUAAACUUUGGAAGAAUCAAAUUGUCAAAAUAUUUGAUACAUUAAACACUAAUUAGAAUACAGGUGUUUGCUUUGGGAAAAUUUUUAACUUGCAUUUGUUUGAGUAGUUGUGUAGCUCUACAUGUUAAUUAAAAAUAAUACUUGAUGGAAUAUUGUUUUCUUGUUGGUGGUGGAUUUAAUUGUUUAUUUCUGUUUAAAAUUGCAUCAAAAUAACUAAAAGGAAGAGUAGAAGAAACUAAAGACUGUGGCUGCUUUGCAUAUUCUACUGAAUGUGUUGUUUUUUUUCCUCUGAAGCCACAGUAUGAAGUAGGUGUAAACAUCUGUAUGUAUAGUUAGUUUGUUGUAAAACAUUAACACUCACCAUUUUAAGCUGAUUCAGACCUAUCACUGUUCCUUGAGGGCAGAAUUACAGAACUUUUCAGGUAUAUUAGAACAGUGACAAAAGAUCAGAUGAAGAUUGUACUUUUAAACCUUAUUCUUUAACCUUUUGGCUAUUCAAGUCAUCCAUGGAAGCUGUUGAAUUAACUUUUUGGAGUAUAUUAAUUUUCUGAUGAUAGUAUGAAAUACAAUUUGAUUCUAGGAUUUUAAAAUCCUAUAAUUUUGCCAUCUGUAUUAGUUAAAAUUCUUGAAAAGAUACUGUCUUUAUUCAGCACACAAUUUUGAGAAGGCAGGGAGAGGUAAGCUUCCUUAUAUUGGACAAAUCAAGCUCAACUUUUGCUCUAAUGAAAAGAAAACCAGUUCUUUGAAAAUGGAGCUUAAAUACAUUUGAGGGGUGACUAUAUAUUUGAAACUCUACAUACCGUUUCAUUAGUUUUUAUUUAUAGGUAAUUGAUAAUUUAAAAAAUUAAUAGGUAUGUUUAUUUUUUAUUUUGUGCCCUGGGUGGGACCCAGGUUAUCAUGUGAACUUUAGAAAUCUAAAUGAUUUUAAAAAAACCUCCAUGGAAAAAUUGGUCCUGUGUUUUGUGGAACAAUGAGAACAUGGUUCAUUUUAUAGUGAGUUUAUUCUGCUUCCUGUUUUGAAAUAGUUGGAUAAAUGAACUUUGCAUAGAACAGUAUCUUCAUAUUUUAAAUUAUGGGGACCCCAUAUAUAAAAAAUAUUUGUUUACCCCUACAUGUUAGUGUUUGUACUCUUGUCAUAACUACAUGGUGCUGUUUAUACAUUUACCAUGAAUUUACCAUAGAUUGAUGGAAAUAAUACACCACUGCAUGAGGAUUCAAAGAACCUUAGUGGUAACUUUGCAUUUUUAUAUACUGGAAACCUUUGGAACAGUAGUGGUUUAUAAACCUGGAGAGUAUGUUAAUAUGUAGAUUCCCAAGCUCCUACUCAGAUAAUCUGAUCCAUUAGGUCUGUGGUAGGACCCAGGUAACUACAUUUUUAUACAGGAGUCCUGGCAAUUAUGAUGCAGAUGGUUUAGGAAGGAAGUCUGGUCCUAAUUUUGACCUAAGUACCUAUAUACUGCAUACUUAAAUACAAGUACGUAUGUAAGUAUGGUUUUAUCAGGGCCUGAUAAAAUUGGUAACCCACAGGUAUCCUCUGUGACUUAGUGAAUCUUAGGCCGCUCCUUAAAGUUUGAUUGUGGCUUCCCGCCACAAUAAAUUAAACACACCCUUGGUUAUAGAAAGUGUUCUCCAACCUUAUUUUUUCAGAAAGAUGCUAUGAGACUAACUUCUCUAUAAUAGGCAUUGGACAACAAAAUACGAAAAAGCUUUUUUCAUAAUACAGUCAACAUUUGUUACUGAUUUCUUGAGUUAAGUAUACAGUGAGUAUCUUGAAAAAGAACAAUCUAAAAUAAAUUUUCAUUAUUAUCUAUUUCUGUAUUAGAUUUGAAAAUAACCUGUUAAGUUUUGGAAGUUUUAUUUGUGUAUAAAUCAGUUGUCAGAUGUGUUGCCGUAAAAUAUUAGUGCUUCAACAAAGUUUUAAGUAAAAAUGUAAACAACCUAAAGUUUCAUGUGAAUAUUGCGGAGUUAGUUUUAGCCAUAAAAGCUGAUAAUUGUAUCAUAGAGUUGUUUAAAGACUCAGUUGUCUGUAGCAAUAAUUAAGUAUUUUCAGGGUAUUGUAGACUCUGGGGCCUUGCCUUCUCAAGCUUGUGCUCCCUGGACCAGCAGUGUCAAGUCAUCUGGGAGCUGCUGAAUUGUAGGAUCUCAGGAUCCAUUCCGGAACCAGCCAGUCAGAAUCUGCAUUGUAACAACUCCCCAGACAGGCUCGAGGAGAGAGCAUCCUCAGAUAAGAAUAUAGAGCCACUUUCUGCUCCACAUAACCAUCCUCCAGAAGAUCCUUUUGGUUCUGUUCCUUUCAUUUCUCACUCAGG